Non-coding RNA from Misgurnus anguillicaudatus (oriental weatherfish), 2902 nucleotides. The record is from RefSeq and is a predicted model, not a curated record. NCBI's taxonomy places the organism in Eukaryota, Metazoa, Chordata, Actinopteri, Cypriniformes, Cobitidae.
GUAUGAUGCAAAAAUUCUAGUUAUUAAUUUUAAUACCCAUAACUAGUUUGAGGAGUUGGGUUAAGUCACAGUAUACAGCUAUAGGUAGAUGUGUGCUCCAUAUCCCGUCUCCCUCUCUCAGCUGGUCCAGAGACUGACAGUGAGACAGUCGGCUGAGAUGAGAUUGUGAGAGCGAGCUGUGCGGGGAAUUGAGUCGCAUUGAUCUGCCCUCUCUUCUCUGUCCCUGAGCCCAUAAAAACCAUUAACCUUUCUGCCACAGACAAGCUCCAGCUACAGCCCAGUAUCUAACGGAGGUUAAUUAAAACUAAACGCAGGGAACGGGGUGUGGAGAGGUGACCGAUCUCAGGGGAGAGUCACCCAGACUUCUAAAUGAGCUCGCAGCAGACUGCAGUGCUCCUGAGACACGCUUACAUACACAAUGGCAUCAUUGUCCCCCUGUUAUGGGACAUGAUCUCUAAUAUUCCUCGGGGUCUUUUUUUAAAGAUUAAUAUAGACCACGGUUGUUGCCUCAUAAUUUAUGACCCCUUAUCUCGCUGAAGGACUUGUUAUUGAGUUAUUAAUAGUAUUGUGUGGUGCAGAUUCAGGCCUGUUUCUCUGCGUUUGUUAUUUCUGUAUUGAGACUCCAACUGUAAUAAAGCACAUUGUGUUGCUCCUUAUAAAGGAUCAUUUUCUUUGCUUUUCAUUUUAAACAGUGAAAUGCAUUUACAAUUUAAUAUUUCUGUCGAAUCAAACCCACCAAUUACUGUUGAAGAGCGAAGUUUUGAGAUAUGUUGGGGAAUCGGGCUAAUACACUUCCAUUCAGUAAAUGAUUGGAGUACGGUGGUAAUUCAGUUUAGGAAGCACAUUUAUGAAUCCUGUCAACAAUAGAAAAGCUUAAAAUGAAGAAAAUUCAAUCUGCGGCGCCCAAUUCAUUCCGUGCAUGACUCAAAUAUCUUAUUAUUAUACAUUUUUAAUGAUUUUCUUAUUGAUGGCUGUUGUUAUGCCUCAAAUAAUGACAUUUUAAAUGCUAGACUUUAAUAUUAGGGUUUGUAGGAAUGUAGCUGUGAAUGUGAUUACUGUAACACGCUGUAAUGAUGUACAAUAUGAGUUUCUCUCUGUUUUGUGCUGGAUAAACAGAUAAUGCUGCCACGUGGCUGUGGAAAAGACACACUUCAAGUUUAUUGCUCUCUAUUGAACAUCUUAUUGCUUUUCUCCCUUUAGAGUUUCUGUCUCAGGUGCGUGUGUGUGUGUUCUUGUGUGUGUUAGUGUGUUUGUUCGUGUGUGUGUGUGUGUGUGUGUGUGUGUGUGUGUGUUCUUCAGUCCAGAUCAGAUCUGUAAUUAAAACUAUGAUGCUGACUCAGACAGUGCUCAGAAAAGGAGCAGCAAAUGAGCCGGAGUGAAGACGAGGAUUUAAGAUAUACAAGGCAAUGAUUCUGUGUCCCGAUAGAGAAGAUAUAAAGAGCAGAGAGAGGAUGAACAGAGGACAAAAAAAGAAAAGAUGACAUAAUGAAACCUCAAACCCUGGAGCGUGCUGUGACUAAAGUACAACAACCAAGCUAUUUUCACAUGGUGGGCGAAAAAACAGGUGCAAAAAAUCCGUAAAGCUUUAAGGUGAGCUUUUUUGACCUGGCAGGUAAACAGCUAGUGUGUUUUGUUAAGUAUCAGCUGUUCUUUGAUUGUAAAUAGUAAUUCUGGCUGGAGUUCACCCGUUCCUGCGUUUUCCACUCACGGAUAGCUCAGCCUUGGGUUGAAAGCCUUGUUUUCUGACAUAUUUACUGUAGAGAUUUAAAUCCUCCUUAAGCACUGUCAUCCACUACUAUUUAUCUUUCUCUCCGCCAAAAACAAAUCCGGAAUGCUUAAAAGGAUGACGUGAACGUACCAAAGCACACAUGCUUCAAAAUGUGAAGCAGUAAAUAUCAGUGGUAAGUUAGCAGCUCCCGUCAGCACGAUGAUCGGGGUGAAUUUGUGUCUCUUUCCAUUACCUGAACGCAGGCCAUAUAGAGCUGAAGGCUAAUUGUGUGUGUGCACAAUGACCCCGGGCCCCUGGGAUACGCAUUCAGACAGGCCUACUGCUUGUGAAUGGCUUUGAGUGUGAGCCUAUUUCUGAUAUUUAUGGGCAACCGGGGCAUUGUAAGUUAUGGUAGGACCGAGGGCCCUGCACUCGACCAUUUCUUUCGAUGGCUUUCACCGGCAUUUUUUCCGAUCUCCUCCUACAUUUUGGUUUGUUUGUCUUUUUGGGGAUUUUUAUUGUUGGAAAAAUAUGGGGAGGAAAAAAUGAAAUAUUUUUUAUUGUCACGUGGUCGUUGGCUAGCUGUAUUUGUUUAGUAAGUGUUUUGAGUAAAAAUAGCCCUAAACUAACUCUGACAUCAAGUCAUCUGAAAUGAUUUAUGUUUAUUGUACUGUACUGUAAUAAUGCCAAUAAUAUAGCUGUCUUCAUGAUAAUGAUUAAACCCAAUAUGUUCUGAACAUAUGGAUAGAUAGAUGGAUAGAUAGAUAUGUAAUGUACACCUUUCACAUUGUACUCUGUCUUUAGUCUGUUUCGUUUCCAGUAUUCAAUGAGAAAUGUUUCACAAGGGACGAGCUCUUUUUCCUCUAUAAGAUGACUUACUUCCAGGGAGUAAAUAGUUUCUGUUUCAAACUAAGUCCAAAACCAGAGGAGUAAUGAAGGUUUAGUCGGGUCUGUUUCUUUGGGAUGUUUUGAAAAAUUAUCUUUUUGUACUCUCUGACAGAGCAGUUUAUCUGCCAUUUCCAAUUGGGCUGUAUUUAUGGGAUCCAUCUGGGAUGUACGCAGCCCCAGUCUCCCCAAUCCCCUACAUGUAAUCAGGUCUGGACUGGUUUUGCACUGUGUUUGUAUUUGUACCGUUUCAUUAUUUUGAUGAUUAACCCUCAUGUUGUGUUUGGGUCUGAGAGAUACAGUGACCAA